Molecule: transfer RNA, 77 nt
Filed under: Tepidibacter formicigenes DSM 15518
Lineage: Bacteria; Bacillati; Bacillota; Clostridia; Peptostreptococcales; Peptostreptococcaceae
Description: tRNA_Arg_TCT
Rfam family: tRNA
About the family: Transfer RNA (tRNA) molecules are approximately 80 nucleotides in length. Their secondary structure includes four short double-helical elements and three loops (D, anti-codon, and T loops).
Source: RNAcentral
GUACCUGUAGCUCAGCUGGAUAGAGCAAUGGCCUUCUAAGCCAUGUGUCCGGGGUUCGAAUCCCUGCAGGUACGCCA